AUUGAACGCUGGCGGCAGGCCUAACACAUGCAAGUCGAGCGGAUGAAGGGAGCUUGCUCCUGGAUUCAGCGGCGGACGGGUGAGUAAUGCCUAGGAAUCUGCCUGGUAGUGGGGGAUAACGUCCGGAAACGGGCGCUAAUACCGCAUACGUCCUGAGGGAGAAAGUGGGGGAUCUUCGGACCUCACGCUAUCAGAUGAGCCUAGGUCGGAUUAGCUAGUUGGUGGGGUAAAGGCCUACCAAGGCGACGAUCCGUAACAGGUCUGAGAGGAUGAUCAGUCACACUGGAACUGAGACACGGUCCCGACUCCUACGGGAGGCAGCAGUGGGGAAUAUUGGACAAUGGGCGAAAGCCUGAUCCAGCCAUGCCGCGUGUGUGAAGAAGGUCUUCGGAUUGUAAAGCACUUUAAGUUGGGAGGAAGGGCAGUAAGUUAAUACCUUGCUGUUUUGACGUUACCAACAGAAUAAGCACCGGCUAACUUCGUG
RNAcentral lists this ribosomal RNA (484 nucleotides) under uncultured bacterium. RNAcentral's name for it is "partial 16S ribosomal RNA". It matches the Rfam family "Bacterial small subunit ribosomal RNA", at positions 30 to 507 of the family's 1533-position model. The record is from RNAcentral.